RNAcentral lists this ribosomal RNA (478 nucleotides) under uncultured bacterium. RNAcentral's name for it is "partial 16S ribosomal RNA". It matches the Rfam family "Bacterial small subunit ribosomal RNA", at positions 28 to 507 of the family's 1533-position model. The record is from RNAcentral.
GAUGAACGCUGGCGGCGUGCUUAACACAUGCAAGUCGAACGAGAAGUGAAGACGGAAACCUUCGGGCGGAAGGCUUUAUUUCGAGUGGCGGACGGGUGAGUAACGCGUGGGUAACCUGCCUCAUACAGGGGGAUAACAGUUGGAAACGACUGUUAAUACCGCAUCAGACCACAGCACCGCAUGGUGCGGGGGUAAAAACUCCGGUGGUAUGAGAUGGACCCGCGUUCGAUUAGCCAGUUGGCGGGGUAACGGCCCACCAAAGCGACGAUCGAUAGCCGAUCUGAGAGGAUGACCGGCCACAUUGGGACUGAGACACGGCCCAAGCUCCUACGGGAGGCAGCAGUGGGGAAUAUUGCACAAUGGGGGAAACCCUGAUGCAGCGACGCCGCGUGAGUGAAGAAGUAUUUCGGUAUGUAAAGCUCUAUCAGCAGGGAAGAAAAUGACGGUACCUGAGGAAGAAGCCCCGGCUAACUACGUG